This 497-nucleotide ribosomal RNA is filed under the name uncultured bacterium. RNAcentral's name for it is "partial 16S ribosomal RNA". It matches the Rfam family "Bacterial small subunit ribosomal RNA", at positions 28 to 507 of the family's 1533-position model. The record is from RNAcentral.
GAUGAACGCUGGCGGCGUGCCUAAUACAUGCAAGUCGAGCGAACAGACGAGGAGCUUGCUCCUCUGACGUUAGCGGCGGACGGGUGAGUAACACGUGGAUAACCUACCUAUAAGACUGGGAUAACUUCGGGAAACCGGAGCUAAUACCGGAUAAUAUAUUGAACCGCAUGGUUCAAUAGUGAAAGACGGUUUUGCUGUCACUUAUAGAUGGAUCCGCGCCGCAUUAGCUAGUUGGUAAGGUAACGGCUUACCAAGGCAACGAUGCGUAGCCGACAUGAGAGGGUGAUCGGCCACACUGGAACUGAAACACGGUCCAGACUCCUACGGGAGGCAGCAGUAGGGAAUCUUCCGCAAUGGGCGAAAGCCUGACGGAGCAACGCCGCGUGAGUGAUGAAGGUCUUCGGAUCGUAAAACUCUGUUAUUAGGGAAGAACAAAUGUGUAAGUAACUAUGCACGUCUUGACGGUACCUAAUCAGAAAGCCACGGCUAACUACGUG